AGAGUUUGAUCCUGGCUCAGGAUGAACGCUGGCGGUAUGCUUAACACAUGCAAGUCGUACGAAGAUAAAAUUAUGCUUGCAUAAUUUUAUACUUAGUGGCGGACGGGUGAGUAACACGUAAGAACCUACCUUUUGGCGAGGGACAACCACUGGAAACGGUGGCUAAUACCUCAUAUUGCUGAGAAGUGAAAGAUGAAUAAUCACCAAAAGAUGGUCUUGCGUCUGAUUAGCUAGUUGGUGAGGUAACAGCUUACCAAGGCGAUGAUCAGUAGCUGUUCUGAGAGGAUGAUCAGCCACACUGGGACUGAGACACGGCCCAGACUCCUACGGGAGGCAGCAGUGAGGAAUUUUCCGCAAUGGGCGAAAGCCUGACGGAGCAAUACCGCGUGAAGGAUGAAGGCCUAUGGGUCGUAAACUUCUUUUCUCAGAGAAGAAUUUUGACGGUAUCUGAGGAAUAAGCAUCGGCUAACUCUGUGCCAGCAGCCGCGGUAAGACAGAGGAUGCAAGCGUUAUCCGGAAUGAUUGGGCGUAAAGCGUCUGUAGGUGGUUUACCAAGUCUUCUGUCAAAGAUCAGGGCUUAACCCUGGGCAGGCAGGAGAAACUAUUAGACUAGAGUUCGGUAGGGGCAGAGGGAAUUCCCGGUGGA
RNAcentral lists this ribosomal RNA (646 nucleotides) under uncultured bacterium. RNAcentral describes it as "bacterial SSU rRNA". It matches the Rfam family "Bacterial small subunit ribosomal RNA", at positions 8 to 677 of the family's 1533-position model. The record is from RNAcentral.